GCCCUUUUUUCCCUGGGAGUAAAUUGGGUCAGAGUGUUCCCAGAAUUUACAUUUCAAUUAAAAAUACAAUAAUAACACAUUGUGCUAAUAGUGAAUGAUUCCGACUCAGGGGAAGAUGACACCGCCCGCUACUUUGUUAAUGAAAAGCCCCCUUCAUUCGGACGGGCCACACAUCAGCGUUAUUGGUGAUGGCAUCGGAGAGCUGCCACGGACCCCUCCCCCAGGCCUUUGUGAGUGGAUUUAACUUUAAAAACAUCUCCCGUUAGCCUCUGAGGCUGGAAUCUGAUAGAAACUUCAGCCCAGGGCUGCAGGAAACCUGAGUGCCUGGUCUUGCUGCUUCUUUGAGAAAAAGCCACUUGCCUGCCCAGUAUGGUGGUGGUGAAGCUAAGGCCGUCGCUCGUUUUGAAAAGGCCCCUGCCUCACUGGUUUUCAGAGUUGGUCUACAAAUCCCCCAGAUAAGAGAAUCCUCUGUGGGGCUUUCUUCCGUGGAAUGGCCACUGACUGAUGCUGAGGUGCUCACUCAAUUCAUAAUCGGAGAUGGCAACAAUAUCCCAUAAGUCAAGGUUAGAGAAGGCCUGGGAAUGUGUGACCCCUAAAGACUGACUAACUUCAAGACUAACUUCAGGAUGGGCCCAUGGGGAAGGGAGUUGAAGUUGGGAGCACAGCCAAAGGGAGGAGAAUGUGGUUUCUGGCCACUUGUGAUAGGUCACUCCCUGGUCAUCUGGCCUGAGGGUCAGUGUGGUCCCUGUACCAGUGUGACUCAAUGUGAUCCUCUGACUGAGGAAACAGGGCGUGUGCCCAGGGCCCUGCUAACAAUACUCCUGGACACGUUCAAGCAUCAGAGUGGACUACAGAGGUUGAUGAAGGGGCUGCUUCAGAGUGGACUUGGUACUUCUUCGUCAACCACCCUGAUGGCCCAGGCAGCUGAGCAGUGGAGACGGAGGAUUCUCACGGUGUCCACCUCCCAGGAGCCACUUCAUUUUUACCAACGUCUCAGGCACACUGGGCUGCAUCUGCUACCUAUACCGGCAGAGAACCCCAGCCGUGUGAGGUGGGCUGAUGUCCUCUCUCAGCUAUUGCACUCCCAUACUUCAGCAGGGUGGAAAGGGGGGAUUUCCAUCCUGUGUUGAGUAGAUGUCCAGACAUAGUGGGCCAGCUGGGGAUCUGCUUGUGCUGUUUGGGCAUGUGGUGGUGUGAAUAAAGGGCAUUGAUGAGUC
Long non-coding RNA from Homo sapiens (human), 1217 nucleotides. NCBI's taxonomy places the organism in Eukaryota, Metazoa, Chordata, Mammalia, Primates, Hominidae. The record is from Ensembl.